AACAAUUUGCAUUAGCUUCGCGUUUUGUAACGCAAGGGACGGUAAUGAAGAAGAUGAUGAUUAAAACGUCUUCAUUUUUUGCAAAUGAGAAGUUGGAUAACGAAGCGGUUGUGGCCAAACUAAAGGAACUUCCAAAGGGUAAUGAGAAUCUUAGUAUUGAAUGCUUCUGAUGGAAUUUGGUUAGAAUCUAGUAGAAAAUAAUAUUUCUAGCCCUAUGUGACAUUGAUUGUGGUGA
RNAcentral lists this small RNA (235 nucleotides) under Arabidopsis thaliana (thale cress). Its description in RNAcentral is "ATSL067560". The record is from RNAcentral. Lineage: Eukaryota; Viridiplantae; Streptophyta; Magnoliopsida; Brassicales; Brassicaceae.